GACAGAGGGUGCAAACGUUGUUCGGAAUUACUGGGCGUAAAGCGUGUGUAGGCGGUUUUGUAAGUCGGGCGUGAAAGCUAAGGGCUCAACCCUUAAAGAGCACUCGAUACUGCAGAGCUAGAGUUUCGGAGAGGUUGGUAGAAUUCUUGGUGUAGAGGUGAAAUUCGUAGAUAUCAAGAGGAAUACCGGCGGCGAAGGCGGCCAACUGGACGAAAACUGACGCUGAGACACGAAAGCAUGGGGAGCAAACAGG
This 253-nucleotide ribosomal RNA is filed under the name uncultured bacterium. RNAcentral describes it as "partial 16S ribosomal RNA". It matches the Rfam family "Bacterial small subunit ribosomal RNA", at positions 524 to 776 of the family's 1533-position model. The record is from RNAcentral.